This 482-nucleotide ribosomal RNA is filed under the name uncultured bacterium. RNAcentral's name for it is "partial 16S ribosomal RNA". It matches the Rfam family "Bacterial small subunit ribosomal RNA", at positions 30 to 507 of the family's 1533-position model. The record is from RNAcentral.
AUUGAACGCUGGCGGCAUGCCUUACACAUGCAAGUCGAACGGUAACGGGCCUUCGGGUGCCGACGAGUGGCGAACGGGUGAGUAAUACAUCGGAACGUGCCCGAUCGUGGGGGAUAACGAGGCGAAAGCUUUGCUAAUACCGCAUACGAUCUACGGAUGAAAGCAGGGGACCGCAAGGCCUUGCGCGGACGGAGCGGCCGAUGGCAGAUUAGGUAGUUGGUGGGAUAAAAGCUUACCAAGCCGACGAUCUGUAGCUGGUCUGAGAGGAUGAUCAGCCACACUGGGACUGAGACACGGCCCAGACUCCUACGGGAGGCAGCAGUGGGGAAUUUUGGACAAUGGGCGCAAGCCUGAUCCAGCCAUGCCGCGUGCAGGAUGAAGGCCUUCGGGUUGUAAACUGCUUUUGUACGGAACGAAAAGCCUACUUUUAAUACAGGAGGGUCAUGACGGUACCGUGAGAAUAAGCACCGGCUAACUACGUG